Miniopterus natalensis is the source of this 3422-nucleotide non-coding RNA. Lineage: Eukaryota; Metazoa; Chordata; Mammalia; Chiroptera; Miniopteridae. The record is from RefSeq and is a predicted model, not a curated record.
GUCUCUGACCCACCGACACCCAAACCCACCUUCUCCACCUUCGCUCCCAAGGCGCCAGACAUACUCAAGUAGCCGGACUCAGAAGACCUGAUGGGGGGGGCACUGUCUACAUAAAGGCCGGAGGGGAGUCCAAUGUGGCCUCUCUCCCUCUCCCUUCUCUGUGUCUGCAGCUCCCAGUUCAGGAGGCUCCGUUUUCUUCCCUGCUCUAUCCCGAGAAAGUCGGAUUCGUAGGAGUGACGCCCCCGAGCCCCGCCGGGCGCCCCCCCCACCGAGGUUGGGCACCAUGCGCCCUAAGGUCCUGGUCCAGAACAAGGCAUUGCAAGGUAGUUUUGGAGUUCAUUCCCAGGGUCAGUAAUGAAGCCUUGAAUGCUUCCAACAACAGUGUCGUUCACUGCUCUAGAAGAGAUUUGCAUUUCUUCUCGCUGGAUUUGACCUUGUGAGAAGGUCUACAUAUGUGUGCUGGUGUUUUCCCUGCGUGCUUACUCAUGAAGUGGUUCUCUUCACCCAUGGUAAGGUAUAAUUUUCCUAAUGUGCCAGGUUCGGCUAAGCUAAGAGAACUGUGGAAUUAUUCUUGAUGCAAUGCCUUUCUGAAUUCUCUAGAAAGUUUUUUGGGUUUUUUUUUUUUUUUUUUUUAAUGACAGAAAAUGUAUUUCACUUUCUUUCAAAGUUGGAAUAAAGUCAGUAUUCCCACAAUUUUCUACUGCCAGAAAAAAUGUUACUGGUCAGUUGGCAAGGUGCUUACAAAAGCUAGUUUGGCUUAAGAUUCAGGAGAGCUGAAGACAUUCAUGUUUUGUAGAUAUCGCAAUGAUGUAUUAAGGCCUUCUCUGUGCCAGGCACCAUACUGGCACCAAGUAUGCAGCUGUGAAGAUGGACAAGGUCCCUGCCAUAACAUUAAAAAGGAAAACAAUAAAUAAGGUUAUUUCUGAUAAUCAUAAUUGCAAUGAAUAAAAAUAAUUAAAUAGUAAUGACAGUGACUUGUGGGGAGGAGGGUGGAGAAAGGGGCACUGCUUUGAAAGGGACAUAGGGAUGAGAAAUUUUACUGAGUUAACGUUUGAGCCAAAACCUGGAUGGUAGAAGGGACCCGGCCUGAAGAAGAUAUGAGGGAAUUACACUCUAGGUUUUGGGAACAGCUGGUGCAAAGAGCCUAACACAGGAAUGUACUUGCCAUUUUCAAGGCACGGGAAGAGAGGGACAAAUGUGUGAGAUGAAGUUUGAGAGGGAGCAGAAACCAGAUGACAAAGCGUCUUGGAAGCCAUGUAUGAAAGAUUCUUGUCGGGUGUUAGAAAUAAUUAAGAAGGAAGCAGGGGUGAGAGAAUUCUAAAGAAGCCCUGGAGAAUUAAAAUUAUUUUUAAGAAGCUAAUAAGCCAGCGAAGCAAGAUGGAAAACUAUCUCAGAACGAAUGGAGCUCCCCAUAACAAGCGGAAAAUUCCCACGGAAUUGGUUAUUGCCAUUUCUAUAGUAGACACCUGAGAUUUGACAGUUUGCCAACUGCUAAUCCACUUUUGCUGAACGAGCACCAGAUAAUAACCUGAAAGAAGCCUGGUUUGUAUCUCUGGUGACUUUCAAAUGAUAGAAAACUUGAAGGAUUGGAGAGAAUUCAGUGGUUUUAAUCCCUCUGGAUGUUUGAACUUUGGAAAAGAAGAAGAGAAUUUAGAAAGGGAAUAGCUGCUUAUAUGUUCAUAAAACAGUAGUUCAUGUUUUGAAUCAUGGCAACGUUACUGAAAUAAUGGGCUCUGGCAGUGGCUGGGAAUAAUACCACCUUAGAAAGAAGGUUCCGUGUUCAGUGCCCUAAUUAAGACCCCCUGAAAACUGAUGUGGGUAUGUAGAAGUAUGUGGAGGUUCUUAAACAGUUUAAAAAGAUGAAUGAUAACCCUGUUGGAUGUUCUUCAAAAGAGGGUUGGAUGUUGAAAUAAUUUUGGAAAUAACUGCCUAAACUUUAUUUUUCUUGUGUGGCUUAUAAAUUAGCAUGUAUAGUUACUGAGAAGUUCUUUACAAAAGUUUUAUUUCUUUUAACCCACUACUUUCCAGACAUUUUUUACCUCAAAACCCCACACAUUUUUUGUUGUUUUUUGUCAUGUAGCUUUUCUUGAACUUUCCCAUAGCUAGUGUUCCACAGAACACGCUUUGGGAAAUGGAGUACUACAUGGCAAAUGUAAAGCAAUUUAGGUUAAAGCUGAAGGCAAAGAACAUUGCUCAGAUCAUUAAAAGCAGAUACUUUGAGGAAGAGCAUGGGUGGCAAAACAGAUGCAUAAUAUUGGGAGUGUCCCGCAGUUCACAGUUAAUAAUCAGAAUGAGAAUUGAGAAUAGCUUCAUUUGAAUGGGAAUCAGUCUCGAAGCACUUUAUGCUUUGUCCAGAUGAAAUGGAUAGCAGGAAAAAAAGUGAAUAGAAAACAUAUAUAAUAUAUGGCUGCAAGGAUCAUAUCCUCUGGUACAACCAUUUUAGGAAACUGAGAAAUUAUAUACCAAUGUAGAAAUCAGAAAUUUUAAGGAGAAAGUAUGGUCCCGGGAUGUAUUUCUUUUUAUAAGACUGAGCAGUGGAAGUUUUAAGCAUGAGGCUAAAGAUGAUGGAUGGGUGGGUGGAUGAUAGGUGACUAAUGUAUAUGAUCAACAUUUUAUAUUGUUGGUUUGCUUCAGCGUGUUCAUAAACAAUAAUCUGUAAGACCAGGUUAAAUAAUGAUAAUGUCAGCAAAAAGGCAAAACAGAAAAAUAAGCUCCUAACAGAGACAUCAACCUAUAGACAGCAGCCAAAAUCUUCUGCUAAAACUUGAGCAUGUGACCAAAUGCUAUAUUAUUUUGCUGGUAGUUUCCUGGAAAACAAAAAAGAAAAUAAGUGAACUUGAGAAGUUAAUUUUCACCAAAAGAAAAAUGUAUUCUUUAAAAAAAGCAGAUUUCAAAAAGUCAGAGGCAACAUAGGUAUGAUCCUAGAGUCAGAGACCCCCAGAAGGACAGGAGACACUUAAAUACAGGCUUUCAAAUAUAAAAUCACAAACACUCCAGGUGAGGAAUAAAUUCAGACACCAAUGUGACUACAUUUUAAGUUCUGGGUAAGUACAGAUCUGCAAAGAGAAUGAACAAAAAAAGUCCUAAGCUAAACAAGCAAGAGUAAAUAAAAAUCAAGGUUAUUUUAAGCUGAAAAUAACAUGUACUAGCUGUAUGUAAGAGUGCUAAGUUUUUUAACACCCUCCCCCUAAAUAACUAAUUUAUAGGCAAAAUUUUAAUUUUUACUUAUGCAAGGCUAAACAUUUUAAUGUGUUCAUUUAUCACUACUUGUGUGUCUUCUUUUUUAAAAUAUUAGGGUAUUAGAAGUUACUUAUAUGUGUAUAUAUUGAAUAUUCCUUUUCUGCUUAUUAAUGAAUAAGAGAUUGUGAUAUAUAAAGAAUGUUACUCCUUUGUUACAUAUAAAAGGAAAAUUCUUUUUGUCA